UACGGAGGGUGCUAGCGUUAUUCGGAAUAACUGGGCGUAAAGAGCGUGUCGGCGGUCUUUUAAGUCAACUGUAAAAGAGCUCGGCUUAACCGAGUAAAUGCGGGUGAUACUGGAAGACUAGAGUGCGGGAGAGAAAGGUAGAAUUCUCGGAGUAGCGGUAAAAUGCGUAGAUCGCGAGAGGAAGACCGGUUGCGAAGGCGGCCUUUUGGCCCGUAACUGACGCUUAAGCGCGAAAGCGUGGGGAGCAAACAGG
RNAcentral lists this ribosomal RNA (253 nucleotides) under uncultured bacterium. RNAcentral's name for it is "partial 16S ribosomal RNA". It matches the Rfam family "Bacterial small subunit ribosomal RNA", at positions 524 to 776 of the family's 1533-position model. The record is from RNAcentral.